CCCUUAGAGUUUGAUCCUGGCUCAGAAUGAACGCUGGCGGCGUGCUUAACACAUGCAAGUCGAACGAGGCGGAGGGGGGCAACUCCUUCCGUCGAGUGGCGGACGGGUGAGUAACACGUGGGUAACCUGCCCGGAAGUGGGGAAUACCUCGGGGAAACUCGAGCUAAUACCGCAUGACAUCUUUGGGACGAAGGUCCUGACGAUCAAAGCGGGGUCGCAAGAUCUCGCGCUACCGGAUGGGCCCGCGCCCGAUUAGCUAGUUGGUGAGGUAACGGCUCACCAAGGCUUCGAUCGGUAACCGGCCUGAGAGGGCGAUCGGUCACACCGGAACUGAGACACGGUCCGGACUCCUACGGGAGGCAGCAGUGGGGAAUCUUGCGCAAUGGGCGAAAGCCUGACGCAGCAACGCCGCGUGGAGGAUGAAGGCCCUUGGGUUGUAAACUCCUGUCGGCUGGGAAGAAAUCGUACGGUGCUAAUACCACCGUGCGUUGACUGUACCAGCAAAGGAAGCCCCGGCUAACUCUGUGCCAGCAGCCGCGGUAAUACAGAGGGGGCCAGCGUUAUUCGGAAUUAUUGGGCGUAAAGGGCGCGUAGGCGGCCAUGCGUGUCUUCCGUGAAAUCCCUCGGCUUAACUGAGGACGUGCGGAAGAAACUGCAAGCUCGAGU
This 666-nucleotide ribosomal RNA is filed under the name uncultured bacterium. Its description in RNAcentral is "bacterial SSU rRNA". It matches the Rfam family "Bacterial small subunit ribosomal RNA", at positions 1 to 647 of the family's 1533-position model. The record is from RNAcentral.